RNAcentral lists this ribosomal RNA (498 nucleotides) under uncultured fungus. RNAcentral's name for it is "eukaryotic LSU rRNA". The stretch from base 327 to 498 matches the Rfam family "Eukaryotic large subunit ribosomal RNA", at positions 1 to 170 of the family's 3401-position model. Lineage: Eukaryota; Fungi. The record is from RNAcentral.
AGCGAAAUGCGAUAAGUAAUGUGAAUGCAGAAAUUCAGUGAAUCAUCGAAUCUUGACGCCACCCUUGCGCUCCUUGGUAUUCCGAGGGGCAUGCCUGUUUGAGUGUCAUGUUAAUCAUCAACCCCCCUCGUUCGCGCGGGGGUGGCUUGGAAUUGGAGGAUUUAUUGUCGGCUCUCUAUCGAGUCGACUCCUCUUGAAGACAUUAGUCGGAACUCGGUCGCUCCGUCGCGGUACGCGGUGUGAUAACUUAUUCACCCAUCGGUAAACCCGCUUCAACGCGUCCGGCUGGCUUCUAACCCGCGCUUCAGUCGCAACUCUUGACAAUCUGACCUCAAAUCAGGUAGGACUACCCGCUGAACUUAAGCAUAUCAAUAAGCGGAGGAAAAGAAACUAACAAGGAUUCCCCUAGUAACUGCGAGUGAAGCGGGAAGAGCUCAAAUUUAAAAUCUGGCGGUCUCCGGCCGUCCGAGUUGUAAUCUGGAGAAGCGUCUUCCGCGC